UGGUCAAGUUAUUAAGGGUGCAGGGCGGAUGCCUUGGCACUAGGAGCCGAUGAAGGACGUGAUAAGCUGCGAUAAGCUUCGGGGAGUUGCACGUAAACUUUGAUCCGAAGAUUUCCGAAUGAGGAAACUCACUUAGAGUAAUGUCUAAGUAUCAUUAAGUGAAUACAUAGCUUAAUGAGGGGAACUCAGGGAACUGAAACAUCUAAGUACCUGAAGGAAGAGAAAGAAAUUCGAUUCCGUAAGUAGCGGCGAGCGAACGCGGAUUAGCCCAAACCAAUAAAGUUUUCUUUAUUGGGGUUGCGGACAUAUCAUAACGAAGAGAUAUCGUAAUUGAAGAGGUUUGGAAAGACCCACCAC
Molecule: ribosomal RNA, 357 nt
Filed under: Clostridioides difficile
Lineage: Bacteria; Bacillati; Bacillota; Clostridia; Peptostreptococcales; Peptostreptococcaceae
Description: partial 23S ribosomal RNA
Rfam family: Bacterial large subunit ribosomal RNA
Source: RNAcentral